RNAcentral lists this unclassified non-coding RNA (211 nucleotides) under plant metagenome. RNAcentral's name for it is "partial contains small subunit ribosomal RNA, internal transcribed spacer 1, and 5.8S ribosomal RNA". The record is from RNAcentral.
UUUCCAUAGGUGAACCUGCGGAAGGAUCAUUCAUAAUAAAGUGUUUUAUGGCACUUUUUAAAAGUCCAUAUCCACCUUGUGUGCAAUGUUAGAUCUCGUCAAUCUUGGCGAGAUUUUCAUACAUCAACUCAUUCUUUAACUAAUUUGUCUGAAAAAUAUUAUGAAUACUUAAUUCAAAAUACAACUUUCAACAACGGAUCUCUUGGCUCUC